RNAcentral lists this long non-coding RNA (1928 nucleotides) under Takifugu rubripes (torafugu). RNAcentral describes it as "lncRNA (ENSTRUG00000032907.1)". The record is from RNAcentral. Lineage: Eukaryota; Metazoa; Chordata; Actinopteri; Tetraodontiformes; Tetraodontidae.
GAGCGCAAAGAUCGUCUAUGUUAGAGAAGAGUUAUUUCCUGUUUGCUAAGUACACGAAAGGGAUCCCAUCGGUGGUGUCAAGUGGGAGCUCCUAACCUAAAGCGUCCAUUUGGAGGCUGAUAAUGGAGGAUAGACAGAAAGAGUCAAAUACAGAACUCACCAGGAGGCAAAGUGAAUAAACGCAGGGCAACACCAGCACCAUAAUUGUGUGGUUGUGGCUGAAUAAGCUGGUCCUCCUGCAGGACAGGACAGCAGGCACAUGAGGCUUUGGGGGCCUGCGUCAACAAUAUAUGGAGCCAGCAGACAUCAGUCCGUUGAGGUGUCCCUCUCCAGCGCCACUGGAUGGUGUCGGUCAUCCUGAGGUGGAAUCCAAGGAGGAGGAGCUGAGGGGUUUUGUGCAGCUCUCAGUCGGGGUGUCUUGCAGGCCCCCGGGCUCGGCUGACUCCCCCGAAUCAACAACUUGCCUCAGACAACCUCUCCCCAUAAAGCCAGCCACUCAUCAAUCUGGCUGUGGCCUUAAUCUCCCAGUGAAGAAAUCCCAACCCACAUUCUCCAUGAACUUGGCUUCAGGAUGGAAUGAGACGGACAUGGAGCAUCGGGCUCUUAAAGCUGAAUCGGCUGUGCGCCUCAUAGAUGACUACCGCAGUGCUGAUACCUGCGUAGCCUCUGCAGCUAACGCGCGUCUUCAGAGGGAAGAGAUGGGCUUUGCUGACUUCACUGUGUUUACAGAGCAGACGGUGCAUCACUGGUGCUGUGGUUUCACACCUUCAGGGAAUCCAGAGACGUCUAACAGCAGACUUGGGCAGAGGAACCCUUCAAACAGCCCAUUAGAACGCCCCCGUAGUCCCGGGCAGGUGGCUUUAGGGGACUCUGACCCUCAUUGUUCAUCUAAAGCAAAAGAUUGCACCAUGAUCGGACACUGGCAGGAAGGAGACGCUGCAGUUGCGCAACCCCACCAGGACCAGCAACAGCCUCAGGAAACUGCAGCAACUUUGGUUUUUCCUCCUGCGAAGGUUUACGCCGAGAAAGGAGCGUCGGAGGAGAGCGAUCCGACCCCAGAGGUUCGAGAAGAGGGAGGCGAGGAGAGCGACGAACAAGACGAGCCAGGACGCCGCCGCUCCGACUCAUCCGCAACUCAGGAAAACUCUGCUACCUCCGGUCCGCUGCGGUCAGGAGCGCGCCACGAUAUCUCGGACCCGGUGCACGCCCAACGAGCCGACGCUGCCGUGCUGAUUCUGGGAACGCUCCCACCGAGCGACAGCUUCGCCGACUUCUGCGCAGCGCCCGCGCAGGACGACGGAGAGGAUUUAUGGGCGGAGUUCACGGACAGGAAGGAAGAGGAAGGCGAGCCGGCUUGGACCAGAGAGCGAGCCGGCUCCGUCCCCACUGAAGACGAGGACGAGGCUCCCGGCUGUAAGGCGUCACUUUCCGGCCGUGUGCACCAGCUUUUCCUGGCUAAUUUCCUGGAGGCAGGGGGCCCGUGUGCUGCCCCAGAGCUGGAGGUGCUCAGCCUCGCCGCUCUGCUUGAUGUCCAACAGCCCCCUCAGCGUGAGGACGGCGAGGAGCAACAGGGCCAGGGGAUCCAGAAGGGGCUGCGGUGGCUGCGCGCGGACCUUCACAGUGCAGUCGGCCUCCGGUUCCAGUGGAGAGGCUCCCACUCCAGCAGGACUCUGCUCAGGUGCCUCGGCGUGGACGCAGAGAACGUCCGUUCGCUAGAGACCACCAAAGACUCCGAGUCAGCCGCCCGUUCUCCGAGACACACGGCGGCACCGGCACCUCCGACCCCCCAGGACGCACCAGCACCUUCCACCGCUCCAGUACAGGGUACGAUUCCCUCCAGCCAGACGGACUGGAACAACCGCGGCCUUAGAAGCUCUCAGGACGGCACCUGCCUUCGCAGAGCCCCUCACUUCUGGGGUCGUAAAUAG